RNAcentral lists this long non-coding RNA (302 nucleotides) under Elaeis guineensis (African oil palm). RNAcentral's name for it is "long non-coding RNA (EGUI_LNC074785)". Lineage: Eukaryota; Viridiplantae; Streptophyta; Magnoliopsida; Arecales; Arecaceae. The record is from RNAcentral.
CUGGUAGACAUGGUAUGAAGCUCUCACUGAUGCUGAGCAGCUACACAGAUCGUCUGGCCUCUACAGAUUGUCCACUCAAAGCCUUGAUCGGAUCUUCCUUCGUGGGAGUGCUAGCUCACAUCGAAAGCUCUGGAUGGCUGAUCUAAGCUCUUUUCUUUGGAUCUCUUAGACUCCAUCGGAUCAAAAGAUGAAACUUUAUAAGGAGGUGAUGGUGUGGAAGAUUGGACAAGACUCACUAUUGUAUUUUUUCUCUCAUAAAAUCUAGAAUCGAAACCCUAGACCCACCCUACACCUCAUGCCCA